CCGCCACGGUAAUACCAGCCCUGCGAGUGGUCGGGACGGUUAUUGGGCCUAAAGCGCCCGUAGCCGGCCCGGCAAGUCCCUCCUUAAAGCCCCGGGCCCAACCCGGGGACGGGGGGAUACUGCCGGGCUAGGGGGCGGGAGAGGCCGGCGGUACUCCCGGGGUAGGGGCGAAAUCCGUUAAUCCCGGGAGGACCACCAGUGGCGAAGGC
This 209-nucleotide ribosomal RNA is filed under the name uncultured archaeon. RNAcentral describes it as "partial 16S ribosomal RNA". It matches the Rfam family "Archaeal small subunit ribosomal RNA", at positions 462 to 673 of the family's 1478-position model. The record is from RNAcentral.